Notechis scutatus (mainland tiger snake) is the source of this 1903-nucleotide non-coding RNA. The record is from RefSeq and is a predicted model, not a curated record. NCBI's taxonomy places the organism in Eukaryota, Metazoa, Chordata, Lepidosauria, Squamata, Elapidae.
CGUAAAAUGGGGCAAAACUCACUUAGCAACAUAACUUUUGGGCUCAAUUGCGGUCAUAAGUUGAGGACUACCUGUAGUUCAGUGAAUCAUACAAUUGUUCAACCAACCUGGCUUCCCACAUUGACUCUGCUUGUUGGAAGCCAGCUGGUAAAAGGCUGCAAAUGAUGAUCACGUGACCCAGGAAUACUGCAGCCGUCGUAAAUGCACACCAACUGCCGGAAUUCUGAUCACAUGACCGUGGGGAUAUGCUGCGACGGUCAUAGGUGCAAGGACCAGUUUUAAGCAAUUUUUUUCAGUGCGUUUGUAACUUCCAGUGGUCGCUAAAGAAAUGAUUGUAUGUCGAGGACUACCGGUAACAGUACAGGAAUAAGUGAGGCUUAGAUUCUGAAGAAAAAACUGGAGGACGCAAGGACACUCAGAUAAAUCCCAGAGAAUGAAGGAUCGCAAAGAUUAUUCUUCUUUUUGGUGGGGUGAAGAUAAAUGUUCUUUUACCCAACUUUAAUGAGAAUAGUUUAAAAUGCAGAAGGAACAUUAGAAAAUACAUUUUACAAACCGAUUCAAAUAAUUUGGAUGAUUUACAGUGCCUUCCAUUUUUCUACGAAAGAACCUCUUGUAAUUUCAUCAGCUGUUCCUUCACCCAAGGUAUUCACAUUUCCAGUAAGAAGCAUAAAUGCCCAUCUUUUUCACUGGUCAUAUCGACAUAUUUCCUUUCUUUUUCUUUUCCUUGUUUGUUUUAUUGUUCUAUUAUUUUACUUUCGCUUUAUUUAAACUUCCUUUUUAUUUGUUUGUUGUUUGUGUGGUUGUGAUCCACCUUAGUCCAUGAUAAGAUAGGUGGAAAAUAAAUUUAAUAAUAGUAAUAAUAAUAGUGGCAGGCAAGCACUAAUAAUAUGUAUUAUUUAAGGGGCACUGCUUGGCAUAAAAUUCAGAUGUUGUACUAGAAAAUUUAGAGGCUAAUUAUUGCUAACAAACACAUAGCAAAUUACUAUAAAAAUAAUUUCAGAACUUUGAAAAAUUCCUACUUACUAGAUUUACCAGUAGAGUUCCCAAACCAUCUUUAAAGGCAUUGCCACCCAUGGCCACUGGAAAAAUUAAACAUCACUUCUCAGUUUAACUUUCAUGACAGAUUAAAAUGCUCAGCAUUCAGGUGACUUUAGGUUGCCUUGGCUGCAGAUGACGUCAAGAUGUUUACAGUCCAAAAUAUUCAUCAUAAAAACAGUUUCAAACAAUUCAGGACCAGUAGCACAUGUACAUUACAAUGGAAUAUAAUAAAUCUGUCAAUAUUUCUUCACAGCACCACACUUUGAACCAGUGGAGGUUCGAAGUCUUCUGGAAAAACCAGUUUUCAUAUGUCUCCCAAAAGCCACAAAGUAAGCAGUUGUUUUCGGCUCAAGAGGGAACAGCACCAGCCAGCAAGGAAUGCCUACUUCUGAAUGCCUUUCUGUUGGAUCUCCCAGUAUGGGGCUCUCAUUUAUACACGAGCAGAUCCUACCUGGGACAGGUGAUCUCAAGGAUAACCAGAUCCCAAGCCAUGUAGGGCUUUGUAGAAAGCAACUGGGACAUUAAAUGGAAGCAAACAACCAAUCAAUGCAACUCUGUAGCAGUAAUGCUAGACCUGUCCAAACUUUUAGCAUACACUGCACAGGGAAGUUUUGGGAUGUUCUUUAUGGGCAUGUCAAAAUGAAUAACAGUAUAGGUAAUCCUCAACUCAUGAUUGGUUGCUGAGCUAUGAUUGUUCAAAGUUAUGACCACUGGACCAUAUUUCAUUCUGCACUUAGUUCCGGUUUUCAGCAAAACCUAUCCAAAGUGAACCAUGGAAAGCGCUUAACGGCACCUUGUUCACUUACUGACCGCUGCAAAACAAGUUACAAAAGCCAGACUUAUCUUUUCAGGGGCAGAAUAGAGA